Molecule: ribosomal RNA, 200 nt
Filed under: uncultured organism
Description: partial small subunit ribosomal RNA
Rfam family: Archaeal small subunit ribosomal RNA
Source: RNAcentral
ACGGCAGGUCAGUAUGCCCCGAAUCUCCCGGGCCACACGCGAGCUGCAAUGGCAAGUACAAUGAGUUCCAACCUCGAAAGGGGAAGGCAAUCUCUAAAGCUUGCCGUAGUUGGAAUCGAGGGUUGAAACCCACCCUCGUGAACAUGGAAUCCCUAGUAAUCGCGUGUCACUAGCGCGCGGUGAAUACGUCCCUGCUCCUU